GUUUAAUUUUGGUUAGUGGACACCAUAUGUGUGGGGAACUACUGAAGUUCCCUACUAUUUCGGCUUGUCUAUACUAUAAAUACCAGGUUUCACACUGUCAGUAGGUUUCACUUUAUGCUUCUCAGACGAUAAUUAUUACUCCUUUGAAAAUUUUAUUAGUAGUCUGCACCUUUUCCCCAACCAACAGUGACAAACAUAGAAUAUUUUUUCAAUGAUUCAUAUGCUUCUUUUGCUUGACACCAGCAAACAAUAUAUAGCUAUUUGGAUAGUAAGCCUUAAGGCUUAAGGUGGAAUAAAGGACCAUCAUGCAAUGA
RNAcentral lists this unclassified non-coding RNA (314 nucleotides) under Hevea brasiliensis (rubber tree). Lineage: Eukaryota; Viridiplantae; Streptophyta; Magnoliopsida; Malpighiales; Euphorbiaceae. The record is from RNAcentral.